Long non-coding RNA from Oncorhynchus tshawytscha (Chinook salmon), 2687 nucleotides. NCBI's taxonomy places the organism in Eukaryota, Metazoa, Chordata, Actinopteri, Salmoniformes, Salmonidae. The record is from Ensembl.
AGAGUAGGCCUCGUCCAGGCCCAUCACUGGGCUCGAACCUGGACCCUUCUGCACAACACUCACAAAGCAGCGUUUACCCGUCACAAAUAACUACUUCAAGGACUGCUGCUACAGAGACAGAUGUACGGAGCCAGAAUACGCUUCUGCCACCAUGGAGCGGCCAUGCCAGAGACAGAGCAAGGCAGCACCAACCACAACAAGUCAAAUCCCACCCAGUCAACCAUUAGAAAUGCUUUGGAUAAUAUAUUCCAUUUGGUAGAUGCUAUUAUGAAAUGCUCCGGUGACUGUCUGCAGGAUCUUUAGGUAUAGUGGGAUGUUGUCACACUACAUUGACCAGGCGCAUAGACUCGGCCUGAAAGCUGGCAUUGGGAACUACGAUACGCUACUCCCGAGACUAAUUCUACUUAGCUUAGCUGUUUGUAGCCGGAGCAUCAAGAGAGCGGGUAUACUACUGCAGCAGUGUUUACGCCAGGCCUGGUACUGGUCCUCCUUUCCAAACUGCUACUACAGGAACACACCUAAAGCACUCGCAAGGUCCUUCCUCUUUCUCUGAACAACAUCCUGUUAACCGUUCAUACAGAUGUGAUUGUACUGUGGUAUAUAUAUAUAUAUAUAUAUUUUUUUUUUACCGUGAACAAUGUUUUGUAGUCUGUUAAUGAAGUGCUUAUGCUGAUCAUGUACCAGGUAGCACUUCUGAUAUAUUUUUAACAUUUUCUUGUUUUUAGUAACGAAGAGACUUAUAUGGACAGCAUCAGUAUUCAUUGAUGGUAAUAACAGUAAUGAGGUAUGUGAAGAAAUGUGACAACUUAGCUGUGAUUUAAAAGCUGUUUGGAAUCAAACUGAAGAUACGGGGGAGCUUCUAUUGGCUGAAGUGGUUCCCGCUGAAUGUACUCAGACCCCUUUAUUCCACGUGAUGUGUUAAAGCCUGAAAUAUAUUUAAUACAUUUUGAAUGCUGUCACCCAUCUACACACAAUACAAAAGUAGCGAAUUUUACAGAAAUAUUCAACCCCCUGAGUCAUUACAUGUUAGAAUCACUUUUUGGAAGCGAUUACAACUGUGAGUCUCUUAAGAGCUUUGCACAUCAUUUUUUAUAUAUUUUUAUUUAUUUUUUAACAUUCUUUAAGCUCUGUCAAGUUGGUUGUUCAUCAUUGCUAGACAGCCAUGUUCAAGUCUUGCCAUGGAUUUUAAGUCCAAACUAACUCAGCCAUUCAGGAACAUUCAAUGUCGUCUUGGUAAGCAACUGUAGUGUAUAUUUGGCCUUGUGUUUUAGGUUAUUGUCCUGCUGAAAGGUGAAUGUGUCUCCCAGAAAGUAGACGGAACCAGGUUUUCCUCUAGGAUUUUGUCUGUGUUUAGCUAUAUCCUGUUUCUUUUUAUUCUAAAAAAAACUGCCUAGUCCUUGCCAAUGACAAACAUACCCAUAACAUGAUGCAGCCACCACCAGGCUUGAAAAUAUGAAGCGUGGUACUUGAUGUUGUUUGCUCCAAACAUAACGCUUUGUUUUCAGGACAAAGUUAAUUUCUUUGCCACGUUUUGCUUUAGUGCCUUAUUGCAAACAGGAUGCAUGUUUUGGAAUAUGUUUUAUUCUGUACAGGCUUCCUUUUCACGCUGUCAUUUAGGUUAGUAGAGUAACUACAAUGUUGUUGAUCCAUCCUCAGUUCUCUAUCAUAGUGAAAUCCCUGAAUGGUUUCCUUCCUCACCGGUAGCUAAGUUAGGAAGGACACCUGUAUCUUUGCAGUGACUUGUGUAUUGAUACACCAUCCAAAGUGUAAUUAAUAACUUCAACAUGCUCAAAGGGAUAUUCAAAGUUGUUUUUUUUACCCAUGUACUAGGUUCCCUUCUUUACGAGACAUUGGAAAACCUCCCUGGUCUGUGUGGUUCGACCUGUUUUGAAAUUCACUGCCCGACUGAGGGACCUUGCAUGUGUGGAGUAGUCAUUAAAAAAAAAUCUAACACAAAUAUUGCACACAGAGUCCGUGCAACUUAUGACAUGUUAAGCAAAUUUGUACUCCUGAACUUAUUUAGGCUUUCCCUAACAAAGGGGUUGAAUACUUAUUGACUCAAGACAUUUCCGCUUUUCAUGUUUUGUAGAAAUUUUCAAAAACAUAAUUCAAUAUUGUGAGGGUGACACAAUCUCAAUUGUAUUCAUUUUAAAUUCAGGCUGUAACACAAACAAAAUGUGUAAAUAGUCAAAGGGGUGUGGAUACAUUGUAUCGAUCUUUCCUUAUGAAUCUAGCCCUAAUUAGACUUUGUUUGAAGAAAAAUAAGAGAAAUAAAAAAAGGUUUUCACGAGUUUCCCCAAUAGUGGAAACAAGUAUUUAAGAAUCUCUUUGAAUGUGUACUCUCCUUUUAAACUUGGCUAUUCAUAUGUUGUUGUCGUCAUUGACAACCGUACUGUAGCUCUUUUGUCGUCGUUUUAUGCAUUGAUUGACCUGUGAACGCAUUACAUUUAGAUCUAACUAUCAGUAGGAAUAUGUAUAAUCAUAUGCUGUUCAGCGAGUUGAACCUGCAGAUCUGUUGUUCUGGAGUACAGGCUAACGAAACAAUGCUCAUAUGAAGUGCUAGUUGACUGUGUUGUCUUUUUUUUUCUUGAUCUGUUAAGACUGCUGGGACCUUGUUAAAGUUACAGCUACAGGUGACAUAGACCCUGUCUGCCUUAGAGGAUAAAGCUACAGGUGACAUAGACCCU